RNAcentral lists this ribosomal RNA (465 nucleotides) under Vreelandella stevensii. RNAcentral describes it as "partial 16S ribosomal RNA". It matches the Rfam family "Bacterial small subunit ribosomal RNA", at positions 338 to 795 of the family's 1533-position model. The record is from RNAcentral. Lineage: Bacteria; Pseudomonadati; Pseudomonadota; Gammaproteobacteria; Oceanospirillales; Halomonadaceae.
CCUACGGGUGGCUGCAGUGGGGAAUAUUGGACAAUGGGCGAAAGCCUGAUCCAGCCAUGCCGCGUGUGUGAAGAAGGCCUUCGGGUUGUAAAGCACUUUCAGUGGGGAAGAAAGCCUUGGGGCUAAUACCCUCGAGGAAGGACAUCACCCACAGAAGAAGCACCGGCUAACUCCGUGCCAGCAGCCGCGGUAAUACGGAGGGUGCGAGCGUUAAUCGGAAUUACUGGGCGUAAAGCGCGCGUAGGCGGUCUGAUAAGCCGGUUGUGAAAGCCCCGGGCUCAACCUGGGAACGGCAUCCGGAAACGUCAGGGUAGAGUGCAGGAGAGGAAGGGUGAAUUCCCGGGGGAGCGGGGAAAUGCGGAGAGAUCGGGAGGAAUACCAGUGGCGAAGGCCGGCCUCUGGAAUGACAAUGACGCCGAGGGGCGAAAGCGUGGGUAGCCAACAGGAAUAGAUACCCGAGUAGUC